GGAACAUAUGGAGGUGGGAUUUUACUGUGUUAAGCUUGCGCUCCACUUUUUUCUUCUGUCUCUAAUUAUUAUUGGGUUGGGUUAUUAUUAUUACAUUUAAUGGGGAAUCUUAGAGUAGAAAAAAAUCAAGAAUCUACUGUCUUCACAGAACUUAUUUUUAUAUUGUAAACCCUUGAGCCUUUUGACUUCAACACCAGUUCACACAAAACCAAAUUAAUCUAUUAAACCAACAAAUGCAAAACCCUCCAAAAUAACAAGUGGUUAUUUCAGACCACAGGUAGAAUAAAUAAAAUCUUAAAUGUUUGAAACGUUUGUUUGUUUGUUUGUUUGUUUUUGAUAAAAAUCAUUACCCUUGAGGAUGCCUCUACCAAAAAUUAAGAAUGUCAUAAAUUUUGGUAACUAACAAUGUAGCUUUCUCUCCAGUUAAAAUUUUCAUCUUUAGAUGAUCUAAGAAUGAAAAAAAGCACAGAGUCUGUAGUUUUUUUUUGAAAUGUCACCACAUUUGUUGUUGUUGUUGUUAAUGGCAGUGAAGUGCUAUUUCAUAAGCUUGACAUUGUAAGUGUUCUUCUAAAUUAAACUCUGGGAUUUGUUAUUUCAGACUUCCUGUUCAGCAAGCCCCAAGCCUCGUGACAGGACUUCUGCUCUGUUUACCAAUAGUGUGAGUCAGGGCUUGUGGUUGUGGCACAGUCAGCCCCACAGCAGCUUUAUCUCCUCUGACUUGAGGGAAGCCACCAAUGGACUGGAAGGGGAAUCUGGAAGAUCCAUUGGUCCUGAGACUUCAACUCUGCAUGCUGUGAUUGCUUUGGCUCUGACCUCGAGGAAUGAAUGUUUUCUGACUUCUGCGUAAAGGCUAGAAGACAAAGAAGAGAGAAUGUGUGUUCUGUCAGCAGCUAAGAGCACAGAUCUGGUUACUGAUCAAGACUGAAGCGAGGCUGAGAAAAUGCAGAACUGAG
Molecule: long non-coding RNA, 953 nt
Filed under: Sus scrofa (pig)
Lineage: Eukaryota; Metazoa; Chordata; Mammalia; Artiodactyla; Suidae
Description: lncRNA (ENSSSCG00025043290.1)
Source: RNAcentral